Molecule: non-coding RNA, 499 nt
Organism: Nicotiana tabacum (common tobacco)
Lineage: Eukaryota; Viridiplantae; Streptophyta; Magnoliopsida; Solanales; Solanaceae
Source: RefSeq, a predicted model, not a curated record
CUUUGCUUUCCUCUUAAGGAAAAAUGUUUAAAAUAGUUGUAUUGAGUAGAACAAGUUCUAAAAGAAUAGUUUGAGAUGUCCAAAAAGUAAAUUAGUUAGUUGAAAGGUGUCACAUCAAGUGUGAAAUAACACUACUUUGGACUUGUCUGUCUUGUUUUAGGGUGAAAACAUUGCCGCUAAGAAGGAGAAGUUUUCUCGGGACCAACUAGAAAGGGAAGCGGGUGUCUCCUCUUAGCUCAACUUAGAUGGUUGGUCCUAGUUAACUAUGCAAUAUCUUCAAAGGACGCAGAAGAAGUUUCCAAUAUCGAAUAAAGUUUUUGCUUUCGGGAUUAUCUACAUCGUCCCUACUUUAACAGGGCAUGUCACUACUUUAGCUUACAAAGGUAUGACCCUCGACAGGAAAGUGUGAAAAUUGAGAAUUAAGGUUGUGGGUUGACAGGUAGUCAAAAGUUUCUCCUUGUCUUACUAGUAGUAUUAGCACUAGUCUUGCAUUUUUCUA